GUGUUGGAUGUUGCUGUUCAGUCUGUGUCCUGUGUCUGCUCUCCUCUCCUCUUCCUGUGUCUACUACUUCUACAGAACAACAGCUCCAACUGAGACUCAGGUUCCUCUGAACAGGACUACGACCAGGGGAAGUGACAGCAGUGUGCAGACUACAGUCAAGUACCUAUACAUCCAUCAAUACCCGCAGAUUGUGAGACCUGUACCAUCCAUCAAUACCAGCAUAGUGUGAGACCUAUACCAUCCAUCAAUACC
Long non-coding RNA from Coregonus clupeaformis (lake whitefish), 252 nucleotides. RefSeq lists it as uncharacterized. The record is from RefSeq and is a predicted model, not a curated record. Lineage: Eukaryota; Metazoa; Chordata; Actinopteri; Salmoniformes; Salmonidae. The transcript is spliced from 3 exons.